Molecule: unclassified non-coding RNA, 416 nt
Filed under: Mitrasacme nudicaulis var. nudicaulis
Lineage: Eukaryota; Viridiplantae; Streptophyta; Magnoliopsida; Gentianales; Loganiaceae
Description: partial external transcribed spacer
Source: RNAcentral
GGAUCUUUGCUUGAGCAACGACGUCCUUCCUUUCAAGCGUCUUCAUUUAUGGUACAAGAGCUUUGUUUACCUUGGCCUACUCGGUUUCCUGUGUUUCAUACCGUUACACGGAAUUGUUUAGUUUCAACUGUCCCAAGUUCGUCUUGUGAUGCCCGUUUUUUGACGUGUGCAUCGCUGAUGAAUCACAAAGUGCCCGUUGCUGUCCGCCUCAGCCACGUUAACCCGUGUGUUGCAUGCGGCCUGUGACAAGGUGCUUGUACUCAUGGAUGCGGAACCUUCGUAGGGUAUGGGGAUUAUCCCCUUUCUGCCCGAAAUUAUGCGUUCACCGCUAAUUAGCGAACGACCGUUGUUGUCGUCUUAGGUUGGGUGUCUCUAUGAGUCAUGCCGUGCCUGAGCGACAAUGGCGUCGAUGAGGA